RNAcentral lists this ribosomal RNA (263 nucleotides) under uncultured bacterium. Its description in RNAcentral is "partial 16S ribosomal RNA". It matches the Rfam family "Bacterial small subunit ribosomal RNA", at positions 524 to 786 of the family's 1533-position model. The record is from RNAcentral.
UACGUAGGUGGCGAGCGUUGUCCGGAAUUACUGGGCGUAAAGAGCGCGUAGGCGGUUUUUUAAGUCAGAUGUGAAAAUCCAGGGCUUAACUCUGGGCGUGCAUUUGAAACUGGGGAACUAGAGUGCAGGAGAGGUAAGUGGAAUUCCUAGUGUAGCGGUGAAAUGCGUAGAUAUUAGGAGGAACACCAGUGGCGAAGGCGACUUACUGGACUGUAACUGACGCUGAGGCGCGAAAGCGUGGGUAGCGAACAGGAUUAGAUACC